This 514-nucleotide ribosomal RNA is filed under the name Metagovea sp. 5 LRB-2018. RNAcentral's name for it is "partial large subunit ribosomal RNA". It matches the Rfam family "Eukaryotic large subunit ribosomal RNA", at positions 646 to 1126 of the family's 3401-position model. The record is from RNAcentral. Lineage: Eukaryota; Metazoa; Arthropoda; Arachnida; Opiliones; Neogoveidae.
GACCCGUCUUGAAACACGGACCAAGGAGUCUAACAUGUGCGCGAGUCAUCGGGUCUUGUUCAGGCCCGUAGGCGAAAUGAAAGUGAAGGGCGACCCAGUCGUCUGCGUUGGGACCCCGGCCACUCGUUGGCCGGGAGCACCAACGGCCCGUCCCGAUCGCUGCGUCGAUGGGGCGGAGCGAGAGCGUACACGUUGGGACCCGAAAGAUGGUGAACUAUGCCUGGGCAGGACGAAGCCAGAGGAAACUCUGGUGGAGGUCCGCAGCGAUUCUGACGUGCAAAUCGAUCGUCAGACCUGGGUAUAGGGGCGAAAGACUAAUCGAACCAUCUAGUAGCUGGUUCCCUCCGAAGUUUCCCUCAGGAUAGCUGGCGCUCGGAGGAGGCAUUCUCAUCCGGUAAAGCGAAUGAUUAGAGGCCUUGGGGCCGAAACGACCUCAACCUAUUCUCAAACUUUAAAUGGGUGAGAAGUCCGGCUUGCUCGACUGAAGCCCGGACGCGAGGAUGCGAGUGCCCAC